UACGUAGGGACCAAGCGUUGUUCGGAUUUACUGGGCGUAAAGGGCGCGUAGGCGGCGUGACAAGUCACUUGUGAAAUCUCCGGGCUUAACUCGGAACGGCCAAGUGAUACUGUCGUGCUAGAGUGCAGAAGGGGCAAUCGGAAUUCUUGGUGUAGCGGUGAAAUGCGUAGAUAUCGAGAGGAACACCUGCGGCGAAGGCGGGUUGCUGGGCCGACACUGACGCUGAUGCGCGAAAGCCAGGGGAGCGAACGGG
RNAcentral lists this ribosomal RNA (253 nucleotides) under uncultured bacterium. RNAcentral describes it as "partial 16S ribosomal RNA". It matches the Rfam family "Bacterial small subunit ribosomal RNA", at positions 524 to 776 of the family's 1533-position model. The record is from RNAcentral.